UUGCCUGUUACAGUGCAAUGGAAUGCGUUUAGGACUUCAUGUUUCCAGUCCACAGAAGGAGAAAAGCUCUUAGGCCAGUCCUCUGAUAUCAAAUUCCAAGCAAAAAAAGUAACCUUAAACGAGAGCGUGGAAGCACUCAGCAAUCAGGAAAUGGAGAGUGACAGGCUAAUCAACCUCCAGUCCGCAUCUACUGUCUUAAUUCCUCAACUAAGACAAAUUCAGGACCCAAAACUUACCAGAAGUCGAAGCGAGAGGCAGAGUCCAAGUUCCGAAGCCCGAGGUCAAAGCAGGAGGCAGAGUCCAAGCCUAAAGCCAGGGUUCAAGGGGGAAAGCCAGAGGUCCGAGUCAGGGUUGAAAUCCAGGAGUGAGUCAAGGGGCAGGUUAGUCGCUACAGCUGUCUAGGGAAUCUAUGCAGCUAGGUGAACACUUCCUGGAACUUCUCUUGGGCUUAAACAGGGCACCUAGGCCAAUCAGGGACCACAAGGGAAGUGAUCAGUCUGGCCUUCCGUAUUGAUACUUCCUGUGGUGUUUAUCUCCACAGGGUCAAUGUGAUAAUGCAUAUGGCUCUAUCAUGGCUGUCAGGUAACUCUGUAGAGAGGCUGUCUACCCCUCAGGCCCAGGAUCUAGUCCCUACAGAGCCUUACACUGAUAUUCCAGCCUCAACCCCCUGGAGAAACCGUGCACCAGAGGAAUUCUCAGCUGGGGAGAGGAGAAGGGGCCUGACCCAGAAUCAGAGCCAACACUUUCAUCAGUUCACUGAGGCCAAGAACAUUCCUUGUGCAAUAAAGCGUAGUUAUUCCCAGCAGCAAGUAGGGGCAGCAUAAAUGCCAGCGUAUCUGGUGGCAGAAUCCACCAUAACCAGGAUAUAUUUCUUCCCAUUUCUGGAAGGUCUGGGUAGAGGUCCCACAAUAUCUACAGAAACUCUGGCAAACACUUCCUUGGUGAUGGGCAAAGUCUGAAAAGGUGACUUGCAGGGUCCUUUUAACCCCUUAUGCUUUGACAUAAAACAUAGCACUUGCUUAGUUCCUUUGGUUUGGGAAUUUAUCCCCCUCCUUCCAUGUGCUCUGAGCUGCAACGUCAUCUGAUGGGAGGAAAGCAAAACAAUAAAAGUCUUUAGUCCUCUUGUUGAUGGGUUUUCAAUCCAGAUGUAGGGAGUUUCCAGUUGUAAGAUCCAACCCUAACCCAUCCGGUAUUGAAGGGUCUCCUCUGUGGGAAGGGGCAUAACAAUUUCUAUAGAAGAGCCACUCUUCACACUAAUGCCCCUCUCCUGUAUGGUGAUUUAUACAGUCACAGAUAUUACAAGUAAGAUUAAUGCAUUGUUGGGGUAUCAUUAAAAGUAACUAUAUACCAAGGCCUAAAACACCCAGAGGGCCUAAAAUUUUGUAACAGGAAAAACAUUGAUAAGAUUUGGCUGUACAAAUUUUUUUGGACUUUGUGUAAAAUAAAAAAAUCCCCUGACAACUUUGUGUUUGCAGAAAAUAAGAAAUGUUAACAUUGAAGAAUUAUAAUAUGCUCUCUAAAAUUCCCUUCCUAAUAGACUAAGGGGGACGGUAAUAUACACAAACUGAUCUAUAACAUUGAAACGAAGGAUUGUUAAUGACCAGAAUUAAAAGCUUCGUUAUCUAUAUUUGUAAUGAAUUGAGUAAGGUAACAGGCAGGCCCAGGUUUUGCCUGGCAUCAGUGUAUUUUUGUUAAUUUCUUUUUAAUAUAACUGACUGAUUUGUUUAAAAUGCUGUUGUUAGCAGGAUAACUAAUGUGUCAUGUUAGAAGAGGAAAGAAAUAGAUACAAACAUGUAAUGAUCAACAAAAUCUUCCUUUUUCUGGGAAAUUUAAAAACUGGAUGACCCAGGGCAAAAGGACCCAGAAAUUGUAAAUUCAGCAGGAAAAGUGUGGGCAUUCAGUGAUUAAUGUUUGUGCAUGUGUAAUAUUCAGGUUAUGUAAAAUUCAAUGGAUAAUGUGUUCAAUGCUGAUGGGAGGAAAAUUAGGUAGUGGAAAAUGUAAAAAUGUAUAAGUAUAUGUAAAAUGGCCCCCCAAAAACUGGAGAAAUCCUGGGUCAAAAACUGAAGAACAAGACUAAAAGACCAGAGCAGGAGCUCAGAGGAGGUGACAAAUGUCAUGGAGGAAGGAUGGACUUCUUGGUGCACUGGAGCCCAUUUAUCUAUUCUGUCUUGUCUGUUAUUACGUGUCUGGCAUGAAUGUAUGUGCCAGACACUACA
Trachemys scripta elegans is the source of this 2216-nucleotide long non-coding RNA. RefSeq lists it as uncharacterized. The transcript has 3 exons. The record is from RefSeq and is a predicted model, not a curated record. Lineage: Eukaryota; Metazoa; Chordata; Testudines; Emydidae.